UUUCCGUAGGUGAACCUGCGGAAGGAUCAUUACAGUGUUCCCUGCCCUUCGGGGUAGGAUUGCCACCCUUGAUUAUUUAUGAGUGUUGCUUUGGCGGGCCUCGCGGCCUGGCCGCGCCCCGGCUUCGGCGGGGGAGCGCCCGCCAGAGGAUUCUACAAGCCUGAUUAUUAGUGUCGUCUGAGUACUAUAUAAUAGUUAAAACUUUCAACAACGGAUCUCUUGGUUCUG
This 228-nucleotide unclassified non-coding RNA is filed under the name plant metagenome. RNAcentral describes it as "partial contains small subunit ribosomal RNA, internal transcribed spacer 1, and 5.8S ribosomal RNA". The record is from RNAcentral.